This 497-nucleotide ribosomal RNA is filed under the name uncultured bacterium. RNAcentral's name for it is "partial 16S ribosomal RNA". It matches the Rfam family "Bacterial small subunit ribosomal RNA", at positions 28 to 507 of the family's 1533-position model. The record is from RNAcentral.
GAUGAACGCUGGCGGCGUGCCUAAUACAUGCAAGUCGAGCGAACAGACGAGGAGCUUGCUCCUCUGACGUUAGCGGCGGACGGGUGAGUAACACGUGGAUAACCUACCUAUAAGACUGGGAUAACUUCGGGAAACCGGAGCUAAUACCGGAUAAUAUAUUGAACCGCAUGGUUCAAUAGUGAAAGACGGUUUUGCUGUCACUUAUAGAUUGAUCCGCGCCGCAUUAGCUAGUUGGUAAGGUAACGGCUUACCAAGGCGACGAUGCGUAGCCGACCUGAGAGGGUGAUCGGCCACACUGGAACUGAGACACGGUACAGACUCCUACGGGAGGCAGCAGUAGGGAAUCUUCAGAAAUGGGCGAAAGCCUGACGGAGCAACGCCGCGUGAGUGAUGAAGGUCUUCGGAUCGUAAAACUCUGUUAUUAGGGAAGAACAAAUGUGUAAGUAACUAUGCACGUCUUGACGGUACCUAAUCAGAAAGCCACGGCUAACUACGUG